RNAcentral lists this ribosomal RNA (497 nucleotides) under uncultured bacterium. RNAcentral describes it as "partial 16S ribosomal RNA". It matches the Rfam family "Bacterial small subunit ribosomal RNA", at positions 28 to 507 of the family's 1533-position model. The record is from RNAcentral.
GAUGAACGCUGGCGGCGUGCCUAAUACAUGCAAGUCGAGCGAACAGACGAGGAGCUUGCUCCUCUGACGUUAGCGGCGGACGGGUGAGUAACACGUGGAUAACCUACCUAUAAGACUGGGAUAACUUCGGGAAACCGGAGCUAAUACCGGAUAAUAUAUUGAACCGCAUGGUUCAAUAGUGAAAGACGGUUUUGCUGUCACUUAUAGAUGGAUCCGCGCCGCAUUAGCUAGUUGGUAAGGUAACGGCUUACCAAGGCAACGAUGCGUAGCCGACCUGAGAGGAUGAUCGGCCACACUGGAACUGGAACACGGUCCAGACUCCUACGGGAGGCAGCAGUAGGGAAUCUUCCGCAAUGGGCGAAAGCUUGACGGAGCAACGCCGCGUGAGUGAUGAAGGUCUUCGGAUCGUAAAACUCUGUUAUUAGGGAAGAACAAAUGUGUAAGUAACUAUGCACGUCUUGACGGUACCUAAUCAGAAAGCCACGGCUAACUACGUG